This 254-nucleotide unclassified non-coding RNA is filed under the name uncultured Gemmatimonadota bacterium. RNAcentral describes it as "uncultured Gemmatimonadetes bacterium contains 16S-23S intergenic spacer region". It matches the Rfam family "Bacterial small subunit ribosomal RNA", at positions 524 to 776 of the family's 1533-position model. Lineage: Bacteria; Pseudomonadati; Gemmatimonadota. The record is from RNAcentral.
UACGUAGGGGCCAAGCGUUGUUCGGAAUCACUGGGCGUAAAGCGCGCGCAGGCGGGUGCGGAAGUCGGGGGUGAAAGGCCGGGGCUCAACCCUGGUAGGUUCUCUCGAUACUCCGUGCCUAGGGACCGGUAGAGGCCAGUAGAAUUCCCGGAGUAGCGGUGGAAUGCGUAGAUAUCGGGAAGAACACCAGAGGCGAAGGCGACUGGCUGGGCCGGAUCCGGCGCUCAGGAGCGAAAGCGUGGGGAGCAAACAGG